Molecule: ribosomal RNA, 491 nt
Filed under: uncultured bacterium
Lineage: Bacteria
Description: bacterial SSU rRNA
Rfam family: Bacterial small subunit ribosomal RNA
Source: RNAcentral
AAUCAACGCUGGCGGCGUGCCUCAGACAUGCAAGUCGAACGAUUAAAGCUCUCUUCGGAGAGUGUAUAGAGUGGCGCACGGGUGAGUAACACGUAAGUAAUCUACCUUCGAGUGGGGAAUAACAACCGGAAACGGUUGCUAAUACCGCAUAAUGCAGCGGCACCGCAAGGUGACAGUUGUUAAAGAUUUAUCGCUUGAGGAGGAGCUUGCGGCAGAUUAGCUAGUUGGUAGGGUAACGGCUUACCAAGGCUACGAUCUGUAACCGGUCUAAGAGGACGGUCGGUCACACUGACACUGAAUAACGGGUCAGACUCCUACGGGAGGCAGCAGUCGGGAAUUUUGGGCAAUGGGCGAAAGCCUGACCCAGCAACGCCGCGUGAAGGAUGAAGUAUUUCGGUAUGUAAACUUCGAAAGAAUAGGAAGAAUUAAUGACGGUACUAUUUAUAAGGUCCGGCUAACUACGUGCCAGCAGCCGCGGUAAUGUCUGUACU